GCCUAAUACAUGCAAGUCGAACGGUCUUUCUAUGGAAGCUUGCUUCCACUGAGAAGAUAGUGGCGAACGGGUGAGUAACACGUGGGGUAAACCCUGCCCAUAAGAGGGGGAUAACAUCCGGAAACGGGUGCUAAUACCGCAUAGUUUUCUUGAUCGCAUGAUCGGGAAAGGAAAGACGGCCUUUGUGCUGUCGCUUAUGGAUGGACCCGCGGCGUAUUAGUUAGUUGGUGAGGUAACGGCUCACCAAGACGAUGAUACGUAGCCGACCUGAGAGGGUGAUCGGCCACAUUGGGACUGAGACACGGCCCAAACUCCUACGGGAGGCAGCAGUAGGGAAUCUUCCGCAAUGGACGAAAGUCUGACGGAGCAACGCCGCGUGAGUGAAGAAAAGGUUUUCGGAUCGUAAAACUCUGUUGUCAGAGAAGAACAAGUUGGAGAGUAACUGCUCCAGCCUUGACGGUAUCUGACCAGAAAGCCACGGCUAACUACGUGCCAGCCGCAGC
Molecule: ribosomal RNA, 503 nt
Filed under: uncultured bacterium
Lineage: Bacteria
Description: bacterial SSU rRNA
Rfam family: Bacterial small subunit ribosomal RNA
Source: RNAcentral